This 1019-nucleotide long non-coding RNA is filed under the name Macaca nemestrina (pig-tailed macaque). RNAcentral's name for it is "lncRNA (ENSMNEG00000045998.1)". The record is from RNAcentral. Lineage: Eukaryota; Metazoa; Chordata; Mammalia; Primates; Cercopithecidae.
CUGAUCCGACGGCUCGGGCUCAUUGUACACUGUGUUUUGGAAGUGUCUGAUUGUAGGGUGGCAUGUUUGGGGUUGUUCCUUGUAGGCCGCAGAACUCGUGUCUCACUUCUAACUCCCGACCUGCUUUAAAAACACACUUUUUUGGGGGGAGGGAGGGGGUACAUUUAACUUUAACAAAUACAAACUUUACAACAUACAAACUUUAACUCAUACAAACUUUAGAGCAAACUUUCUGUUACUCUCCCCACCCUCCCCCUUCCUUUUUCUAAAUGGAAAAGAAUGUCCGGAGGGGUUGUCAGAUAGAAGACUACACUUACAAAGUGUUUAUGAUUCCAGGUGCAUGAAAUCUUUAAUAUUACAGGGUGAUGACAACUCCGUGAGGGUGGAGAUUAUAUGUCUCAUCAUUUCGGCAACAAGGAAAUAAAUUAGUGGCAGAGUGAGGGUGACUUGAGAUCUCCUGGAAGCGAGGAUCCUUUAAAAAUCCUGGAAUAUACACUGCAGUAAAAGAACAAAGCAUACCUCAGCCUUAAACUACUGAAGAAGAAUGUCAAGUGGGGAAGUGGCUUUGGUUUUGAGUUUGUGGGUUCUGAAUCCACACAAAGACAGGACUGCAUUCUGAAAACCUGAAUUAAUUAUUGUCCUUACCUCAAUAAGACAAAAAAUUAUAAUCAAAAUCAUUAGUAUUACAGUCACAGAUAUUGCCAAGAUGAGUCUGUUGUUAUAGCCAUAUCCUGGAACUUCUUUCGUGAGCUAAAAAAAAAAAAAAAAAAGGAAAGAACAAUUAAAAAAAAAAGAAAAGAAUGAAGCUAACUUUUCAAUAACCCCAGUAUUCCAGGUUUGAGUAGCUUACAGUUUCUUUUUUAUUUUUUUUGAGACGGGUUUCACUCUGUCACCCCCAGGCUGGAGUACAGUGGUACGUCACAGUUCACUACAGACUCUACCUCCCUGGGCUCAGGUGGUCCUCCCACCUUCAGCCUCCCGAGGUAGCUUGGGACUAAGCACGUGUCAACCCACACCCA